Molecule: ribosomal RNA, 706 nt
Filed under: uncultured bacterium
Lineage: Bacteria
Description: bacterial SSU rRNA
Rfam family: Bacterial small subunit ribosomal RNA
Source: RNAcentral
ACGGGUGUGUAACGCGUACGCAACUUGCCCUAUACAGGAGGAUAACCCGUCGAAAGACGGACUAAUACUGCGUAUGCUCACAGCUUGGCAUCAAGUGGUGAGGAAAGAAAUUCGGUAUAGGAUAGGCACGCGUCCCAUUAGCUUGUUGGUGAGGUAACGGCUCACCAAGGCGACGAUGGGUAGGGGAACUGAGAGGUUUAUCCCCCACACUGGUACUGAGACACGGACCAGACUCCUACGGGAGGCAGCAGUGAGGAAUAUUGGUCAAUGGGCGCGAGCCUGAACCAGCCAAGUCGCGUGAAGGAUGACUGUCUUAUGGAUUGUAAACUUCUUUUAUACGGGAAUAACAAGAGUCACGUGUGACUCCCUGCGUGUACCGUAUGAAUAAGCAUCGGCUAACUCCGUGCCAGCAGCCGCGGUAAUACGGAGGAUGCGAGCGUUAUCCGGAUUUAUUGGGUUUAAAGGGUGCGUAGGCGGUUUGUUAAGUCAGCGGUGAAAUCUAGAGGCUCAACCUCGAAACUGCCGUUGAAACUGGCGAACUUGAGUGUAGAUGAGGUAGGCGGAAUUCGUGGUGUAGCGGUGAAAUGCAUAGAUAUCACGAGGAACUCCGAUUGCGUAGGCAGCUUACUAAGGUACAACUGACGCUGAAGCACGAAAGCGUAUGUAUCAAACAGGAUUAGAUACCCUGGUAGUCCACGCAGUAAAC